This 1293-nucleotide ribosomal RNA is filed under the name human gut metagenome. RNAcentral's name for it is "bacterial LSU rRNA". It matches the Rfam family "Bacterial large subunit ribosomal RNA", at positions 1268 to 2641 of the family's 2925-position model. The record is from RNAcentral.
CGGCUGUGGAGUGUAUAGAAGUGAGAAUGCCGGAAUGAGUAGCGCGAAUGCAGUGAGAAUCUGCAUGGCCGAAAGCCUCAGGUUUUUGGAGGAAGGUUCGUCCGCUCCAAGUUAGUCGGGAGCUAAGGUGAGGCCGGAAGGCGUAGCCGAUGCACAGACGGUAGAGAUUCCGUCACCACCAAAAGAGUUAAGCACAGGGACACAUUUGAAGUCUCAGAGCCGGGUGUUGGUUCCGGUAGAGAUCGAGGGAAAUUAGUACCGAAGUCCGGGAUGGAAGAUGGCGAGAAAAGCUGUGUGUAUUUCUGAGGUGCCCGUACCGCAAACCGACACAGGUAGGUAGGAAGAAGAUUCUAAGGCCAACGGGAGAAGGGUUGUUAAGGAACUCGGCAAAUUGACCCCGUAACUUCGGGAGAAGGGGUGCUCCAGAGAUGGAGCCGCAGAGAAUCGGCCCAAGCAACUGUUUACCAAAAACACAGGUUUGUGCUAAAUCGAAAGAUGACGUAUACGAGCUGACGCCUGCCCGGUGCUGGAAGGUUAAGAGGAGAUGUGCAAGCAUUGAAUCGAAGCCCCAGUGAACGGCGGCCGUAACUAUAACGGUCCUAAGGUAGCGAAAUUCCUUGUCAGGUAAGUUCUGACCCGCAUGAAAGGCGUAAUGAUUUGGGCACUGUCUCAACAGCCCGCCCGGCGAAAUUGUAGUACCGGUGAAGAUGCCGGUUACCCGCGACAAGACGGAAAGACCCCAUGGAGCUUUACUGUAGCCUAAUAUUGGGUUUCGGUGUUGCAUGCACAGGAUAGAUGGGACGCUAGGAAGUGAGUGCUUUGGCAUUCAUGGAGCGGCCGUUGGGAUACCAUCCUUGCGACAUUGGAAUUCUAACCUGCGCCUUUGAAUCAAGGCGGGGGACAUUGUUAGGUGGGCAGUUUGACUGGGGCGGUCGCCUCCUAAAGAGUAACGGAGGCGUUCAAAGGUUCGCUCAGCUUGAACGGAAAUCAAGCAAAAGAGUGCAAACGCAGAAGCGAGCCUAACUGCGAGACUGACGGGUCGAGCAGUAACGAAAGUUGGAGUUAGUGAUCCGGUGGUAUGUGAGUGGAAAUGCCAUCGCUCAACGGAUAAAAGCUACCCUGGGGAUAACAGGCUGAUCUCCCCCAAGAGUCCACAUCGACGGGGAGGUUUGGCACCUCGAUGUCGGCUCAUCGCAUCCUGGGGCUGUAUUCGGUCCCAAGGGUUUGGCUGUUCGCCAAUUAAAGCGGUACGCGAGCUGGGUUCAGAACGUCGUGAGACAGUUCGGUCCCUAU